GACGAACGCUGGCGGCGUGCUUAACACAUGCAAGUCGAACGGAAAGGCCCUGCUUUUGUGGGGUGCUCGAGUGGCGAACGGGUGAGUAACACGUGAGUAACCUGCCCUUGACUUUGGGAUAACUUCAGGAAACUGGGGCUAAUACCGGAUAGGAGCUCCUGCUGCAUGGUGGGGGUUGGAAAGUUUCGGCGGUUGGGGAUGGACUCGCGGCUUAUCAGCUUGUUGGUGGGGUAGUGGCUUACCAAGGCUUUGACGGGUAGCCGGCCUGAGAGGGUGACCGGCCACAUUGGGACUGAGAUACGGCCCAGACUCCUACGGGAGGCAGGAGUGGGGAAUAUUGCACAAUGGGCGGAAGCCUGAUGCAGCAACGCCGCGUGCGGGAUGACGGCCUUCGGGUUGUAAACCGCUUUCGCCUGUGACGAAGCGUGAGGGACGGUAAUGGGUAAAGAAGCACCGGCGAACUACGU
Molecule: ribosomal RNA, 467 nt
Filed under: uncultured bacterium
Lineage: Bacteria
Description: partial 16S ribosomal RNA
Rfam family: Bacterial small subunit ribosomal RNA
Source: RNAcentral